RNAcentral lists this ribosomal RNA (327 nucleotides) under uncultured eukaryote. RNAcentral's name for it is "partial 18S ribosomal RNA". It matches the Rfam family "Eukaryotic small subunit ribosomal RNA", at positions 1470 to 1796 of the family's 1831-position model. The record is from RNAcentral.
CCCUUAGAUGUCCGGGGCCGCACGCGCGCUACAAUGGAUGAAUCAACGCGUCAUCCUGGCCCGAAAGGGUUGGGGAACCGCUGAACCUCAUCCGUGGUUGGGAUUGGGGUUUGUAAUUAUUCCCCAUGAACUAGGAAUUCCCAGUAAGCGCGAGUCAUAAGCUCGCGUUGAUUACGUCCCUGCCCUUUGUACACACCGCCCGUCGCUACUACCGAUUGGAUGGUUUAGUGAGAUCCUCGGAUUGGUCACGGCACGGUGGCAACACUGCGUCGGUGUGCCGAGAAGACGAUCAAACUUGAUCAUCUAGAGGAAGUAAAAGUCGCAACA